UACAGGUGGAGAAGUGUUUUUCUCAUGUUCUUUUCUUGUCCAGGUGUGUUUGGGAUUCACCCUCACCAAGAUGCAUUCAGUUACCAAUGAGACUCUUUAAUUGUUCAGGAUUUAGCUACCUCUAUUUAGUCUUUUCAGGGUAACUUCUUUAAGACUUUUAAGUUAUGCAUGAAACAAGAAGGAAAACAAAUUAAGCCCUGCCAGAAAGCAACUUAGCCCCAUCACGUCAGCAUAGCCCCUAGCAGUUGACUUAAUUAUCACAUUUGCCCAAGGAUUCUUCUAGAUUCAGAUUCACAGCUCCACUCCGAAUUUAUGAUUCCAGUAAGCAUUCCAAUCAAUUUGCCCACAUGAACAGAUCUGAUUGUCUUUCCUUGUGUGUCCUUUUUAUUUCAUUUUUUUUUUAAGUCAACACAAAUCCUAACACGAUGUGAAUGAAGUUAGGCACAUAAUGCAAUAGCUGACAGGAUGCUUGGACAGCUCUGAAAAUCCAUUAUCACCUCUCCCUGAUACAGAACGUCACUAGUUUAGAUAGAGUUUACCAACUUUAGUUUAGAAAGAGUUUACUAGCUUUCCUUUGCCAAGUAAAUGCAGAGACUGAGUCCACGUGUGCAGUACAGCACUACCGUCAAUCCAGCGAGGUUUAGGCAUUAAAGACGAGGAGGUGAGCAAGGCUGUCAGCUUGGAGGAACUGUGUGAAUUUACAGAGUCCAGAGAACGCACAACUGUCCAACUCUGUUCACAGAAACUUGAAUGACGAAAACUCUGACAGGGUCAGACAGGGGAUAAACAAUUCCUCGGAGGAGAGGAGAAGCCUGGCCUGGAGAUGGAUCUUAAAGGAACUGGAAGUAGUUCCGUGGGAAGUGGAGGAGGCUGCUUGGCCGUGGGGGACAGCUGAUGCAGGACAUAUGACAGGUCCACCAUCCAUCGCAGGAAGUAAUGUUUGGAAGAAGCACCAAGCCUGGGCAUCUGGACCAAGAGAAUUCUGGAAGGCAGCAGGCCAUCAUUUUCCAGCCAAACACAAAUACCAUCAGGAUGAGGCUAGAAGAAGAAUGAUUAUGUCAUGUAAUAAGGGCUGACUGUGAUCAAGACAAUUGGAAGAAUGAAUCUCUCUUCCAAGAAAAUUCAAGUUCAAUACAUCUUAGCUGAAUACACUUUAUACAUCUUUUAGUCACAUUAAAAUUUUUUAUUU
RNAcentral lists this long non-coding RNA (1189 nucleotides) under Meriones unguiculatus (Mongolian gerbil). Its description in RNAcentral is "lncRNA (ENSMUGG00000021662.1)". Lineage: Eukaryota; Metazoa; Chordata; Mammalia; Rodentia; Muridae. The record is from RNAcentral.